This 243-nucleotide ribosomal RNA is filed under the name uncultured bacterium. RNAcentral's name for it is "partial 16S ribosomal RNA". It matches the Rfam family "Bacterial small subunit ribosomal RNA", at positions 113 to 354 of the family's 1533-position model. The record is from RNAcentral.
CAACGUGAGCAACCUGCCUUUCANAGGGGGAUAACAGUUGGAAACGACUGCUAAUACCGCAUAACACUGCGAUGGGGCAUCCCGAUGCAGCCAAAGGAGCAAUCCGCUGGAAGAUGGGCUCGCGGCCGAUUAGCUAGUUGGUGGGGCAACGGCCCACCAAGGCGACGAUCGGUAGCCGGACUGAGAGGUUGAUCGGCCACAUUGGGACUGAGACACGGCCCAGACUCCUACGGAAGGCAGCAG